CACACUGUAAACGAUGGAUACUAGGUGUAGGGUGUAUUAAACAUUCUGUGCCGCCGCAAACGCAUUAAGUAUCCCACCUGGGGAGUACGACCGCAAGGUUGAAACUCAAAGGAAUUGACGGGGGCCCGCACAAGCAGUGGAGUAUGUGGUUUAAUUCGAAGCAACGCGAAGAACCUUACCAGGGCUUGACAUAUACAGGAAUAAGUAAGAGAUUACUUAGCUCUUCGGAGUCUGUAUACAGGUGGUGCAUGGUUGUCGUCAGCUCGUGUCGUGAGAUGUUGGGUUAAGUCCCGCAACGAGCGCAACCCCUGCCCUUAGUUGCCAGCACGUAAAGGUGGGAACUCUAAGGAGACUGCCGGUGAUAAAUCGGAGGAAGGUGGGGAUGACGUCAAAUCAUCAUGCCCUUUAUGUCCUGGGCUACACACGUACUACAAUGGCCGUGACAGAGAGAAACGAAGUAGUGAUGCAGAGUAAAACUCAAAAAACGGUCUCAGUUCGGAUUGAAGGCUGAAAUUCGCCUUCAUGAAGCUGGAAUUGCUAGUAAUGGCAGGUCAGCAUACUGCCGUGAAUACGUUCCCGGGCCUUGUACACACCGCCCGUCACACCAUGAGAGUUGGAAAUACCCGAAGCCUGUGAGCUAACUUAUAGAGGCAGCAGUCGAAGGUAGAGCCAAUGAUUGGGGUGAAGUCGUAACAAGGUAGCCGUAUCGGAAGGUGCGGUUGGAUCACCUC
Molecule: ribosomal RNA, 731 nt
Filed under: uncultured bacterium
Lineage: Bacteria
Description: bacterial SSU rRNA
Rfam family: Bacterial small subunit ribosomal RNA
Source: RNAcentral